RNAcentral lists this ribosomal RNA (468 nucleotides) under uncultured bacterium. Its description in RNAcentral is "partial 16S ribosomal RNA". It matches the Rfam family "Bacterial small subunit ribosomal RNA", at positions 28 to 507 of the family's 1533-position model. The record is from RNAcentral.
GACGAACGCUGGCGGCGUGCUUAACACAUGCAAGUCGAACGGAAAGGCCCUGCGUUUGUGGGGUGCUCGAGUGGCGAACGGGUGAGUAACACGUGAGUAACCUGCCCUUGACUUUGGGAGAACUUCAGGAAACUGGGGCUAAUACCGGAUAGGAGCUCCUGCUGCAUGGUGGGGGUUGGAAAGUUUCGGCGGUUGGGGAUGGACUCGCGGCUUAUCAGCUUGUUGGUGGGGUAGUGGCUUACCAAGGCUUUGACGGGUAGCCGGCCUGAGAGGGUGACCGGCCACCUUGGGACUGAGAUAGGGACCAGACGCCUACGGGAGGCAGCAGUGGGGAAUAUUGCACAACGGGGGGAAGCCUGAUGUAGCGACGCUGCGUGCGGGAUGCCGGCCUUCGGGUUGUAAACAGCUUUCGACUGUGACGAAGCGUGAGUGACGGUAAUGGGUAAAGAAGCAACGGCUAACUACGUG